Molecule: small nuclear RNA, 23 nt
Filed under: Arabidopsis thaliana (thale cress)
Lineage: Eukaryota; Viridiplantae; Streptophyta; Magnoliopsida; Brassicales; Brassicaceae
Description: snRNA_08234
Source: RNAcentral
AUGGCAUGAUCCGCUGUUGCAUU